UCAGUGGAAAAUUGUCAGACUCAGAAACCUUGUUUACAAGAUGAGGGUAGGGAUGAAAGUAUUUAGUUCUUCAUUUUUAAAUCCCUGUUUUCUUAUUCUUCCUCAUGCACUUCGGCUCUAACAUGUUUGUGAACUUUGGGCUUUGUCUAGUAACUUUGAGCGUGUCCUAUAUUUUUUUGACUUUAAUCACCUAAUAUCAUCUCUGUUCUUUUUCUAUGCAAUGCCUAGAACAACUUAUAACCCUCCCUAAUUAUUAAAUAGGAAAAAGACACACUGUUUUUCUUAGAGAAGGAUAUGAAAGGGGGUGUUUGAUUGACCCAAAUCCAGUCUAUAAUGCAAGGAGAAAACUUCUAGAUCUAGUUGUGCUGGGACGCCAUGCCAUGUUAAUCAACAAUGAAUCAAGGUCAGUGGAAAAUUGUCAGACUCAGAAACCUUGUUUACAAGAUGAGGGUAGGGAUGAAAGUAUUUAGUUCUUCAUUUUUAAAUCCCUGUUUUCUUAUUCUUCCUCAUGCACUUCGGCUCUAACAUGUUUGUGAACUUUGGGCUUUGUCUAGUAACUUUGAGCGUGUCCUAUAUUUUUUUGACUUUAAUCACCUAAUAUCAUCUCUGUUCUUUUUCUAUACAAUGCCUAGAACAACUUAUAACCCUCCCUAAUUAUUAAAUAGGAGGACAAUGUGUUUUGAUGCACUCGAC
RNAcentral lists this long non-coding RNA (693 nucleotides) under Gossypium barbadense (sea-island cotton). RNAcentral describes it as "long non-coding RNA (GBAR_LNC003259)". Lineage: Eukaryota; Viridiplantae; Streptophyta; Magnoliopsida; Malvales; Malvaceae. The record is from RNAcentral.